GGGCUGGUCCCGGGAGGCGGCGGCGGCGGCGGGCCGGGAGGGCUCGGCUGGGCGCCGGGCCGGGCGGGGCCUGCUGCGCGACGGGCUGCCGGCCUGGUCCGGGGUGAGCGCCGGUCGGCAGGCCCUGGCUGGCGUGAGGCUGGCAGGGGCGGGGGAGCGGCCGCUGGUGCGCGGUGUGGACGGGGCGGGGGUCUCUGGUACAGCCCCCUGCAAGCCCUGCCCGGGCCCCAUCCCGUGAAGCUGCCCCGUCGUUCGGCCGGGCAGCGCGGGGAGGCUGCGGGCGGGCUUCGGGCGCUGGGAGAAAAGCCCUUCCUGAAGGUGCUGCGACACCCGCGCUAAAAACCGCCUUCAGCCAGAAGCUGCAGCCGCACCGAGGACCAAGCGAGGCGGUCUCUCCGUUUCCCCCCCGUUCCCCUUCUCCCAAAGCUACGUCGGAGCCCACCUCUGGAGGGGACUCGCAGGCCUUGCGUGAGGCAGCGUGAGGGAAAGGGACCCGGUGCGUGUCUGGCGGCAGGGUCCCGGGUGCCGAGUGCCUGGAGGUAGGGCCCUGAUGGGGAGACCUGAAAGCUACACCUCUGGAACCGUGGCGGUGUUGGUUGGCCAAAAACAUCCCCGAGGCGGCCGUCCUGUCUGCGCGGUGCUGUGCGGAGAGAUGCAGCCUCGGUCCUUGCUUCGUUGUAGAGGCGCUUGCGCACCGCGGCCCUAAAAUAACCACCCUUCGCGGUCCUGCUUCCCUCUACCUGCAAACGUAAGGCACGCUUGUAUAGCAGAGGUUUUAAUCGGGGAUGGGGUGAAGAGAAUGAGGGCUGCGGGGAAGGAUUUCCCUUUGCUGAGGCUCACAGCCUGGCCUCUCCUUUUGAGAGCAGGUGCCGACCUACAGCCUAUUUCUGUUCCCUCGAAGAAUUAAUUAUUUUCUCCUGUAUGUGGCCCCUGGAGGAAGAAGUCCAAGCACCUCCCUCCCCCUGUCAUUCUGUAUCUCCAGCGAUCAGAGCGCUUCCUUAGGAGCUGGAGAUGUGGCUCCUGGUCCUUUUCCCAGAACUUCGUGUUUUGUCCUCUGACAAACGUUCAAUGUAAAGUACAUGGAGCAGACUUGGAAAAGGGGACUGAAAUCCAAGGCUGUUCCCCUCCCUUCCCCAUGGCAAUAUUAUUAUUGCUAGGUCAUGGCCUCUCCUUGAAUCCUGAAUCCCCACCCUUUCCCCCAGGCAGCAGUACGGGUUCAACAGGCUGGUUCAAAAUGGAGUGUGUGUUAGGCUAGCAUACCUCCCAGUAGAUACUCUUCAGGCUAGCCUACCUCCCGGGUAAGACACUCUUCAGGAAGGUCGGGGGCAGCAGGGGGAGAAGCUGACCUUGGGUCUCCUGGUGUGGGGAGCACCUGCAAGGCACACAGAGGGAAGGAAGUGCCCCCCCUGGGGAGUUGAGAAAGGGUUCAAAGGGGCUGGUGAAGUGUUAAGCAAAAGCAGUCGGCAGCUCAGCACAUGGUGGGGAAGUUGAUGAUAAGCAUUUGCAGCUGGUUCUCUCUCUCUCCCACCCUGGAGGAACUGGGUGGCUGCUGACUCAGGAGCUGCAUCAAGUCAGAGGAAUGGGAAGGGGGUCACAUUUCCUGAGUGCCCGAGACACGCUGCAGCGGGCGAUGGGAUAGCGACGGGCACCUCCUACCUGCUGUCCCGUCUUGGAAGAGCGAUCACAGCAGCGUGCUGUAAGGAGCUGGAGCCCUCUGGAAUGUUGGGACUAAUCAUGUGAGAAAAGAUCCUGGAGUGAUGAGGCAGCAUAUUUCCCAUGUCUGAGGUCAGCUUCACAGAACAAAUCCUGACCUUUAAAACAGCCUGAAAAUGAGGAACGUGGCACCAGAGAGCAGAGCAGGAAACAUGAAAUGAUGAAAUGCAAGCAGUCAAGCAGUUUUCCAGAGGCCCACAUGCCUCUGGAAAGCAGUAGAAGUAUCUGCAUGAGCAAAGAGCUCCAGCGCAGCAAGGUACAGAGGAUGUAAGAAUAAGGCUGUGGCUGGAGAGAUGGAAAUGGCUUCGUCGGGGCACCAGGUGAAGUCCUGCAGUGGCUAUUCUUAUUUGCAAAGACUGCAGCUGAAAACAGACCCAGGCAGGAGCUGAUCCACACUGUUCUGAGCCUUUGGGGAACAUUCAGUUUUGGAACUGAAGGACCCAUGUUUUAGGCUAAACUGAACCCAUGAGUCUAAAACUUCUUCAAAACUCUGGGGAGAUGUUGCUUUUGACCUCACUCUGCAGCAUGGAUCCAUUUGCUUCAUCACUAGUCAGAUGAAGCUUAUUCUCAGUGUCAGAAGAAGAUCUACCUCUGCUCUCUGGCUCAGAUUAGUUUACUGUUGCUCCCCCAGUUUAUCAGCUUUUAUAUGCAUAUCCUGCUGCUAAAUGUGUGUAAAAUAAGUGGCUAGUCCUUUUACUCUCUUUCCUUUCAGCUUGUUGAUCGCAGGAUUCAGUCAUAUGCAUAGUAAUGUGUAAUUGAAGCAUGGUGGCUUUACCCAGCUGGCUUAGAUCUCACCUCUAAGCCUGUAUGCAAAAAGACCUACCUAUUCUGUGCAGUGUGGGAAGCCCUCCAGGGCCCAGAAUGUGAGAAGUAAUCAAUUCUUGUAGAAACAUUUCUGCGAUACUGUGGAAUCCAGCCGAGAGACAUGAUGAAAGUGGAAACUGUUUUCUAGGACAUCCAGUUUCAUUUAAUUUUGUCAUGCCCAUAGAACUUUUCAGCAAAUGUCCGUAUCCUUCUGUGUGUUGAUUGUGUCCUGCAUCCUUUUGUGAUUUGGUUACCCUGGCAAUCCAGCUAAUUUUCCAGAAAAGUCAGCUCCAUCAAAGUUCAUUGACUUGUUACAUUAAUGGCCUGCUUGCUCCUUCAGUAGACUUUAGCAUCCAUUGAUUGCAAGUUCUUUCAUGGGCUUGGACCCUUAUGAGAAGAGAUCUGCAGAGAGGGUUAUGCCCUGGCAUGCUUGAUUGGAGCUGAUUUUUUUUUUUUCCCCUUGUCUCUUCUUCACUGUAGCUAGACUGAUCCUCUUUCUUGUUUCUUAAAACACUGGGGUAAUUUUUCUACCUGUCACCAGACCUCUGUUCCAGCACGUUGUCUAUAGGAGUGAAGUUUUCCAGUAAAAGUCUCUUCUUA
Long non-coding RNA from Aquila chrysaetos chrysaetos, 3117 nucleotides. RefSeq lists it as uncharacterized. The record is from RefSeq and is a predicted model, not a curated record. Lineage: Eukaryota; Metazoa; Chordata; Aves; Accipitriformes; Accipitridae. The transcript is spliced from 3 exons.